This 253-nucleotide ribosomal RNA is filed under the name uncultured bacterium. RNAcentral's name for it is "partial 16S ribosomal RNA". It matches the Rfam family "Bacterial small subunit ribosomal RNA", at positions 524 to 776 of the family's 1533-position model. The record is from RNAcentral.
UACGAACUGUGCGAACGUUAUUCGGAAUCACUGGGCUUAAAGGGUGCGUAGGCGGCGGCACAAGUCAGGUGUGAAAUCCCCCGGCUCAACCGGGGGACAGCGCUUGAAACUAGGUCGCUCGAGUGAGGCAGGGGUAUGUGGAACUUCCGGUGGAGCGGUGAAAUGUGUAGAUAUCGGAAGGAACGCCAGCGGCGAAAGCGGCAUACUGGGCCUUGUCUGACGCUGAGGCACGAAAGCUAGGGGAGUGAACGGG